GUCAGGUUCAGGCCCCAGGGAGAGCCAAGAGCGGCUUCUUCUCCUGAAGACAGUCUCUACAUGUUGUAUUUAAGCUAAAGUUUCCUAUACCCUAAUUACAAACGUGUAUUUCACGUGUGAUUGUGUGUAUUCCAGGUGUGAUUGUGUGUAUUCUGGGGUGUGAUUUUAUGUAUUCCAGGUGUGAUUGUGUGUAUUCCAGGUGUGAUUGUGUGUAUUCCAGGUGUGAUUGUGGUGUGAUUGUGUGUAUUCCAGGUGUGAUUGGGUGUAUUCCAGGUGUGAUUGGGUGUAUUCCAGGUGUGAUUGUGGUGUGAUUGUGUGUAUUCCAGGGUGUGAUUUUGUGUAUUCCAGGUUGUGAUUGUGUAUAUUCCAG
This 370-nucleotide long non-coding RNA is filed under the name Cricetulus griseus (Chinese hamster). RNAcentral's name for it is "lncRNA (ENSCGRG00015042704.1)". Lineage: Eukaryota; Metazoa; Chordata; Mammalia; Rodentia; Cricetidae. The record is from RNAcentral.